CUACGUGCCAGCAGCCGCGGUAAUACGUAGGGGGCAAGCGUUAUCCGGAUUUAUUGGGUUUAAAGGGAGCGUAGGCUGGAGAUUAAGUGUGUUGUGAAAUGUAGACGCUCAACGUCUGACUUGCAGCGCAUACUGGUUUCCUUGAGUACGCACAACGUUGGCGGAAUUCGUCGUGUAGCGGUGAAAUGCUUAGAUAUCAUGAAGAACUCCGAUUGCGAAGGCAGCAUACGGGAGUGUAACUGACGCUUAAGCUCGAAGGUGCGGGUAUCGAACAGGAUUAGAUACCCUGGUAGUCCGCACAGUAAACGAUGGAUGCCCGCUGUUAGCGCCUGGCGUUAGCGGCUAAGCGAAAGCAUUAAGCAUCCCACCUGGGGAGUACGCCGGCAACGGUGAAACUCAAAGGAAUUGACGGGGGCCCGCACAAGCGGAGGAACAUGUGGUUUAAUUCGAUGAUACGCGAGGAACCUUACCCGGGCUUGAAUUGCAGAGGAAUUAUUUAGAGAUA
Molecule: ribosomal RNA, 505 nt
Filed under: uncultured bacterium
Lineage: Bacteria
Description: bacterial SSU rRNA
Rfam family: Bacterial small subunit ribosomal RNA
Source: RNAcentral